GAGGGUAUAGCUUGGGGGUAGAGUGUGUGCUUAGCAUGCACGAGGUCCUGGGUUCAAUCCCCAGCACCUCUA
Molecule: transfer RNA, 72 nt
Organism: Camelus ferus (Wild Bactrian camel)
Lineage: Eukaryota; Metazoa; Chordata; Mammalia; Artiodactyla; Camelidae
Rfam family: tRNA
About the family: Transfer RNA (tRNA) molecules are approximately 80 nucleotides in length.
Source: Rfam